GACGAACGCUGGCGGCGUGCCUAAUACAUGCAAGUUGAGCGCUGAAGGUUGGUACUUGUACCGACUGGAUGAGCAGCGAACGGGUGAGUAACGCGUGGGGAAUCUGCCUUUGAGCGGGGGACAACAUUUGGAAACGAAUGCUAAUACCGCAUAAAAACUUUAAACACAAGUUUUAAGUUUGAAAGAUGCAAUUGCAUCACUCAAAGAUGAUCCCGCGUUGUAUUAGCUAGUUGGUGAGGUAAAGGCUCACCAAGGCGAUGAUACAUAGCCGACCUAAGAGGGUGAUCGGCCACAUUGGGACUGAGACACGGCCCAAACUCCUACGGGAGGCAGCAGUAGGGAAUCUUCGGCAAUGGACGAAAGUAUGACCGAGCAACGCCGCGUGAGUGAAGAAGGUUUUCGGAUCGUAAAACUCUGUUGGUAGAGAAGAACGUUGGUGAGAGUGGAAAGCUCAUCAAGUGACGGUAACUACCCAGAAAGGGACGGCUAACUACGUGCCAGCCGCCGCAGUAA
This 513-nucleotide ribosomal RNA is filed under the name uncultured bacterium. RNAcentral describes it as "partial 16S ribosomal RNA". It matches the Rfam family "Bacterial small subunit ribosomal RNA", at positions 28 to 523 of the family's 1533-position model. The record is from RNAcentral.